Molecule: unclassified non-coding RNA, 421 nt
Filed under: Hevea brasiliensis (rubber tree)
Lineage: Eukaryota; Viridiplantae; Streptophyta; Magnoliopsida; Malpighiales; Euphorbiaceae
Source: RNAcentral
GUUAAUCACUUGCUAAAUGUGGCUAAACAUGUCCAUACACUAGAACAAGUCAAACAAGAAUAUGCACCAGCAGGAUGCUGAAAAUUUGCUGGUAGUCCGUUUCAGCCGAGAGGUGCAGCAAAAUCAGUAGAAUAGGUGUACUUAGCUAUUCGUCCGAGUUAGGCUUGGAUUCAAAGAACUUGGAUACAGCUUCAUAAAGAUUCUCUUCCUCGAAUGGUUUUGAGACGUAACCAUCCAUCCCACACUUGAGGCAUUUCUCUAAUGUGGCAUGAAUAACAUCAGCAGUCAUGGCCAAUAUCGGCAUGUGCCACCUGCGCCUCUUUGUACCUCCAUCACAGUUCGACACUCCAUUCUGUUGUUCAUUUGCAAUGCUCUCUAGUUCCCUAAUUCGACGUGUAGCCUCAAACCCAUCCAUUUCUGG